This 498-nucleotide ribosomal RNA is filed under the name uncultured bacterium. Its description in RNAcentral is "partial 16S ribosomal RNA". It matches the Rfam family "Bacterial small subunit ribosomal RNA", at positions 28 to 507 of the family's 1533-position model. The record is from RNAcentral.
GAUGAACGCUGGCGGCGUGCCUAAUACAUGCAAGUCGAGCGAUCAGACUUGGUGCUUGCUCCUCUUUCGUUAGCGGCGAACGGGUGAGUAACACGUGGAUAACCUACCUUUAAGACUGGGACAACUUCGGGAAACGGGUGCUAAUACCGCAUAACAACUUUAACCAUAUGGUUUAAUUUUGAAAGACGGUUUUGCUGUCCCUUAUAGUGGUAUCCGCUUCGCUUUAGCUAGUUGGUAAGGUAAAGGCUUACCAAGGCAAUGAUGCAAAGACGACCUGAGAGGGGGAUCGGACACAUUGGGACGGAGACACGGCCCAAACUGCUACGGGAGGCAGCAGUAGGGAAUAGUUGGCAAGGGACGAAAGGCUGACAGAGCAACGCCGAGAGGGGGAAGAAGGGUGUCGGAUCGAAAAACUAUGUGGGUAGAGAAGAACGUUGGUGAGAGUGGAAAGCACAUCAAGUGACGGUAACGAGCCAGAAAGGGACGGCUAACUACGUG